CCCUCGUCUUCACGUAACAGAUCUGCUCCGAGAGUUCUCCAAGGACAGCAUUCGCCUCGUCAAGCGCUGCCACAAGCCCGAUCGUAAAGAAUUCUCCAAGGUCGCGCUCCGGACAGCGAUCGGGUUCGUCGUGAUGGGUUUCGUCGGGUUCUUCGUCAAGCUGAUCUUCAUCCCCAUC
Malus domestica (apple) is the source of this 178-nucleotide non-coding RNA. The record is from RefSeq and is a predicted model, not a curated record. Lineage: Eukaryota; Viridiplantae; Streptophyta; Magnoliopsida; Rosales; Rosaceae.